RNAcentral lists this ribosomal RNA (255 nucleotides) under uncultured bacterium. Its description in RNAcentral is "partial 16S ribosomal RNA". It matches the Rfam family "Bacterial small subunit ribosomal RNA", at positions 524 to 776 of the family's 1533-position model. The record is from RNAcentral.
UACGGGGGGAGCAAGCGUUGUUCGGAUUUACUGGGCGUAAAGGGCGCGUAGGCGGCCUCUGCAAGUCGACUGUGAAAUCUCCGGGCUUAACCCGGAAAGGUCAGCCGAUACUGCAGGGCUAGAGUACGGAAGAGGCGAGUGGAAUUCCUGGUGUAGCGGUGAAAUGCGCAGAUAUCAGGAGGAACACCUAUUGCGAAGGCAGCUCGCUGGGACGUAAACUGACGCUGAGACGCGAAAGCGUGGGGAGCAAACAGG